This 1005-nucleotide long non-coding RNA is filed under the name Macaca fascicularis (crab-eating macaque). RNAcentral's name for it is "lncRNA (ENSMFAG00000060615.1)". Lineage: Eukaryota; Metazoa; Chordata; Mammalia; Primates; Cercopithecidae. The record is from RNAcentral.
GCAUCCUCCCUUCUCCCCACUUCUCCCUCUCCCUCCUUCCAUCCCUCCUUCCUCUUUUCCCUUUCUCCUAUACCCUCUCCCUUUCACGUGUCUGUUAUAGAGAAUGUAGGCAAAUCACUGGCCCAUUGUGCAUGUUCAGUUGAGAAACAUUGCAUUUAUUUUAACUGUUUCUUUUUGAGACUGAAAUUCUUUCUUUUGACUAUUAGGGAUUUUUUUUCCAGUUCCAAGAAAAUAUCCAGAGAAAUUAUUUUUGACCUUGUAUUCAAUCUAUAUAUUUAUUUAGGUAAACCAAUAUGUUUAUAAUAUAAUGUUAGGAGUAACACUCAAAAUCCUAAGGAAAUUGAUCUCGGACAAAGGAUUCUUAGCAAAGCAAUUUUACUUCUGUGCAGAGGGGUGCCUCCUUGGCCAGUCGCCAUGAGAGCACACCUGAACAAAGGGGCACGAGGGCCUUUAUUCCUGACACAAGUCCUGCUCCUGUGUACAUUCCCCAUUGGUCGGGGUCGGGUCGUACAAUCUAAACUAAUCUCGGUUGGCUAAACAUUUGAUUUUUUUUAGGUAAGGUGGGCACAUAAAAGAAAAUGGAGAGGAAGGGGAAGGGGUGUCUGUAAUGAGGUAGAAAGUUAGUCCUCUUCUCAGAUAAGGAAAGGAUGUCAGCUGGUACUGAUAAUGCCUGGUACUGUGGCGUGCCUGGGCAUCUAACAAAGGCAAAAAGGGAAAAAGGAGAAAAAGGGUGGGGGUACUAUGAAUUAAAGAAUAAAAUAUAGAUCAGAUUAUUUGAAGAGAAACCUCAUCAUAUCCCACAGUAACAUGAAUAGCACCAUCCAGGAAUGAAUUAUAUUUUACUUUUAUUCAAAUUUCUUGUAAUUUGUCCCAAAGUUUGAUGCUUUGUUUAUAAAGCCACUCACAUGAAGAUAUAUGUUUAGUAUAAUAAUUUGUACACUUUGCUAUAAUUUAGAUUAGAUUUCUUUGUAUUUUAGUAAUGCGCAAGGAAAUUAUUAUUUUAUU